CAAAAAUAACUCUUUUGGUUUUAUUUUAGGACCAUUACGUAAUUUACCCUGUAAGUAUAUUUACAUUAUGAUAGUAUUUGUUAUACUGAAUUUAAUUUAUGCAACGUUUUAAAAAAUUGUGUCUGUUGUUUUCCCCUUCACAUUAAAUUAAAGAGAAUUUAGGAGGGGGAGUGUGCUUAUUUGUCUCAAUCUCACAAUACAAAUAAUGUUGAUAAAUAGACUUUCUUUUUGCAACGUAUAAUUUAUUUUCUUUUGAUUUUGGGGUGAAACAUUGAACCGGAUGCUAUGUUUCUGUGAGUGGUUGUGUUUUCAAGAUAUGAAUGCUGUAUACGUCUGAAAUUAAUCUCUGGGUUUGGGGGUUGGGAUCUCUUUUUAAUAUUGAAAUCAAUUAUUUAUUAGUGAAAUUUCUAACAAUUUGUAUAAAACUUGGCUUAGAGAUGAGUUAAAGUGGAGACGUGGUCAUAAAUUGUAAUAUACAAGAAAAGCUUUGACUAACUUAUACUAUAAUAUUAUGAUUACAGUAUAUUGAUUACUGACAGACGUUUUGGUUUUAGUGUAGUCUACGUUCCCUUCCUAGGGCAGCAAGCCAGAGAAAAGAGAUGUUCUCAUUCCAGCCCUGCCUUAUUAAACAUGAGAGAAAUGCUCAUAUCUGUUUCCUGGACUUAAAUCCUGAAUGAAUAUUUAAAACGGUUCAUUACUACCUGUAUUCCAGGUGUGUUUUAACUAAGCCGUCAGUACGAAUCACCCAAAGUCAUUUUAAUCUAAAUGCAGCAGAUGAUGUUGAACACAUUUAAUGUUUGGUUCCCUUCUGUGCUGACAAAGUGAUGGAUAGGGCUGCUUUUUAACACUAGAUGUGUAUAUUUUUUUAUUUUUACUGUAUUGAAAAGUGUUUGUGUUGUAGAGCCGUGAGCAGUUUACAGGUUUCACCGAGAUUAUGUUGACCAGUAGUUGUUACUGUACGUUGUGUAUGACGACACAUUAGUGUAUCCAGUCCAGCCCUGCAGAACCCACACAAAUGUGUGCAUUGGUUUGGCCUAUUUUUAAUACAGCCAUAUCAAUAUAUUUUGGAUGUUCUAGUACUGGGACAGGACAAAUGCAUACAUUUGGUGUCCUGGGAAUUGAAAUUGAAUUA
This is a long non-coding RNA of Rhinichthys klamathensis goyatoka, 1132 nucleotides long. RefSeq lists it as uncharacterized. The record is from RefSeq and is a predicted model, not a curated record. NCBI's taxonomy places the organism in Eukaryota, Metazoa, Chordata, Actinopteri, Cypriniformes, Leuciscidae. The transcript is spliced from 2 exons.